CUGAAGAAAAGCCCACGGCGGAUUAGCUAGUUGGUGAGGUAAUGGCUCACCAAGGCGACGAUCCGUAACCGGCCUGAGAGGGCGGUCGGUCACACUGACACUGAACAACGGGUCAGACUCCUACGGGAGGCAGCAGUCGGGAAUUUUGGGCAAUGGGCGCAAGCCUGACCCAGCAACGCCGCGUGAAGGAUGAAAUCCUUCGGGAUGUAAACUUCGCAAGAAUGGGAAGAAUAAGUUUGAGCCAAUACCUCAAACGAUGACGGUACCAUUUGUAAGCUCCGGCUAACUCCGUGCCAGCAGCCGCGGUAAUACGGGGGGAGCAAGCGUUGUUCGGAUUUACUGGGCGUAAAGGGCGCGUAGGCGGCCACGACAAGUCACUUGUGAAAUCUCCGGGCUUAACUCGGAUAGGUCAAGUGAUACUGUCGGGCUAGAGUGCGGAAGGGGCAACUGGAAUUCUCGGUGUAGCGGUGAAAUGCGUAGAUAUCGAGAGGAACACCUGCGGCGAAGGCGGGUUGCUGGGCCGACACUGACGCUGAGGCGCGAAAGCUAGGGGAGCGAACG
RNAcentral lists this ribosomal RNA (561 nucleotides) under uncultured soil bacterium. Its description in RNAcentral is "bacterial SSU rRNA". It matches the Rfam family "Bacterial small subunit ribosomal RNA", at positions 219 to 774 of the family's 1533-position model. The record is from RNAcentral.